RNAcentral lists this ribosomal RNA (446 nucleotides) under uncultured bacterium. RNAcentral describes it as "partial 16S ribosomal RNA". It matches the Rfam family "Bacterial small subunit ribosomal RNA", at positions 338 to 795 of the family's 1533-position model. The record is from RNAcentral.
CCUACGGGUGGCAGCAGUCGAGAAUCAUUCACAAUGGGGGAAACCCUGAUGGUGCGACGCCGCGUGGGGGAAUGAAGGUCUUCGGAUUGUAAACCCCUGUCAUGUGGGAGCAAAUUAAAAAGAUAGUACCACAAGAGGAAGAGACGUCUACCUCUGUGCCAGCAGCCGCGGUAAUACAGAGGUCUCAAGCGUUGUUCGGUAUGACUGGGCGUAAGGCGUGCGUAGGCUGUUUUGUAAGUCGUGUGUGAAUGGCGCGGGCUCAACCCGCGGACGGCACAUGAUACUGCGAGACUAGAGUAAUGGAGGGGGAACCGGAAGUCUCGGUGUAGCAGUGAAAUGCGUAGAUAUCGAGAGGAACACUCGUGGCGAAGGCGGGUUCCUGGACAUUAACUGACGCUGAGGCACGAAGGCCAGGGGAGCGAAAGGGAUUAGAUACCCUUGUAGUC